This 296-nucleotide long non-coding RNA is filed under the name Helianthus annuus (common sunflower). Its description in RNAcentral is "sRNA HanXRQr2_Chr05g0194121". Lineage: Eukaryota; Viridiplantae; Streptophyta; Magnoliopsida; Asterales; Asteraceae. The record is from RNAcentral.
UUUGAGUAAUGGAGUCAAAAUUUCAAAUACUAAAAUGUGAAGUGUCGAUCAAUACUCAAGUCUAAACCCGCCAUUUGAUUCAGAAGUGCAAGACCCUACACAAAACCCCCCAUUGGCCUCCAUCGCCACGCCAACUCGUCAGGGUUUUGCUUCAAUCGACUCUUUCAAUUUCAUACUUCCGAUAGAACAAGGGUAUGUUCCAAUUUGUCGACGAUUUAUCUUUCUGCUUAGUUAAUCUUGAUAUAACUAUGGACGAAACAUCAGGGACGAAAACUGCACUUUAUUCUAAUAAAUAG